GCCUGGAUAGCUCAGCUGGUUAGAGCGUGGCACUGAUAAUGCCAAGGUUGCAGGUUCAAUCCCCGAAUGGGACA
This 74-nucleotide transfer RNA is filed under the name Podarcis lilfordi (Lilford's wall lizard). Its description in RNAcentral is "tRNA.Ile". The stretch from base 8 to 66 matches the Rfam family "tRNA", at positions 8 to 63 of the family's 71-position model. From Rfam's summary of the family: Transfer RNA (tRNA) molecules are approximately 80 nucleotides in length. Their secondary structure includes four short double-helical elements and three loops (D, anti-codon, and T loops). The record is from RNAcentral. Lineage: Eukaryota; Metazoa; Chordata; Lepidosauria; Squamata; Lacertidae.